AGAUAGAGUGAGAGAGGUCAAAGUAUGAACGCUUACAUGUUUACUUUUACAAUGAUCGAUGAGGUACACAGCAGUGUUCUGUGGCUCUUUGUUGCUCAUGGUCUGAUAAAACAGCUCUAGCUAUUUCACCUUUCACCGCCGAUCCGGAAGUGUGGUCGAUUGAGAGACAUCCAAUGCAACAAAAAAAUAUCUCUAGUUCAAACUGACAGAUUUAUAUGGCGAUUUUUUUAUUAUUCUAAUUCAACUUCCGCGGUCCGCGGGCAUCGACUCUAGGGUUUAAACUGGUUGUGGAAUCUCUGCCCUCCUCUCCUGAUUGUGUAAAUUGAUUACUAAGGGGCGGAGAAGGUUCAUUUCCUUUCCUUGCAGUGACUGAAGAGCCAGGGUGGAAGAGGACAGAGUUUUCGUUUCCUGGGGUUUGGAAGGUGUGGUGUGCGUGAUGACUUCUCAGCCUAGCGCGGAGGAGACUCUGUCGACACGGCAUGGAUUCAGGUGUGUUCCUGAGAAUGGAGUUAAGGUGGAGGAGGUUCUGCUCGCGGUCGGUGAGCAGAACGAUCCUCUUGACCCUGACCAAUCCGGCUUCAAGACUGGUCAAUCAACCGAGACUGCUCUUCUCUGUGUCACGAAGGCCCUCCGAACUGCCAAAGCUGACUCAUCCUCCUAGAUCUAUCCGAUCUGCCUUGUACACCGUGAACCAUCAGACUCUCCUCUCCACCCUCUCAGGGAUGGGUAUCUCAGCCUCUGCACACUCUUGGAUUGCAUCCUACCUGCCAGGCCGCUCCUACCACGUACUCUCACUGAUUGGUUCUAGGCGCCUCUCUCUCUUCUCUCUUCUCUCUAUACACCAAGUCACUCGGCUCUAUCUUAUCCUCACGUGGUCUCACCUAUCAUUGCUAUGUGGAUGACACUCGACUACUUUCCAAAUCCAAAUCAAAUCAAAUGUAUUUGUCACAUACACAUGGUUAGC
Non-coding RNA from Oncorhynchus mykiss (rainbow trout), 964 nucleotides. Lineage: Eukaryota; Metazoa; Chordata; Actinopteri; Salmoniformes; Salmonidae. The record is from RefSeq and is a predicted model, not a curated record.